This 446-nucleotide ribosomal RNA is filed under the name uncultured bacterium. RNAcentral describes it as "bacterial SSU rRNA". It matches the Rfam family "Bacterial small subunit ribosomal RNA", at positions 329 to 792 of the family's 1533-position model. The record is from RNAcentral.
CUCCAGACUCCUACGGGAGGCAGCAGUGGGGAAUAUUGCACAAUGGGGGAAACCCUGAUGCAGCGACGCCGCGUGAGCGAUGAAGUAUUUCGGUAUGUAAAGCUCUCUCAGCAGGGAAGAAGAUGACGGUACCUGACUAAGAAGCCCUGGCUAACUACGUGCCAGCAGCCGCGGUAAUACGUAGGGGGCAAGCGUUAUCCGGAUUUACUGGGUGUAAAGGGAGCGUAGACGGCGAUGCAAGCCAGAUGUGAAAGCCCGGGGCUCAACCCCGGGACUGCAUUUGGAACUGUGUGGCUGGAGUGUCGGAGAGGCAGGCGGAAUUCCUAGUGUAGCGGUGAAAUGCGUAGAUAUUAGGAGGAACACCAGUGGCGAAGGCGGCCUGCUGGACGAUGACUGACGUUGAGGCUCGAAAGCGUGGGGAGCAAACAGGAUUAGAUACCCGUGUA